AAAACUAAAAGGACGCGGUAACCUUGACCGUGAUAAUGUAGCAUAAUCAUUCGCCAUUUAAUUGAUGGAUAGUAUGAAUGGUUGAACGAAUAUUUCACUGUCUUAAAAAGAAACAUUUAAAAAUUAGAAUAAUAGUAAAGAUACUAUUUAAAAUUGUAAGACGAAAAGACCCUAUAGAGCUUAACUAUAAUCUUUUACUAAUCAAAAGAAAAAAUUCUUUAAAAUAAAAAGAUUGGUAGUUUAGUUGGGGCGACUAUCUUUUAAAAUUAACAAAGAUAAGCAAAGUAAAUAAAAAAACUUAUUGUAUAAUUAAUAAAUUUAACAAUUACUAAAGUAGGCUAUAAUGACCCGUUAUAAUCUCAUAAAAAAAAUAACGAUCAAUAAAUAAAAGCUACCUUAGGGAUAACAGGAUAAUUUUAUUUUAGAGAUCAUAUCGAAAAUAAAGUUUGUCACCUCUAUGUUGAAUUAAGA
Molecule: ribosomal RNA, 471 nt
Filed under: Salacia desmoides
Lineage: Eukaryota; Metazoa; Cnidaria; Hydrozoa; Leptothecata; Sertulariidae
Description: partial 16S ribosomal RNA
Rfam family: Bacterial large subunit ribosomal RNA
Source: RNAcentral